This 274-nucleotide ribosomal RNA is filed under the name uncultured bacterium. RNAcentral's name for it is "partial 16S ribosomal RNA". It matches the Rfam family "Bacterial small subunit ribosomal RNA", at positions 523 to 796 of the family's 1533-position model. The record is from RNAcentral.
AUACGGAGGGUGCAAGCGUUAAUCGGAAUUACUGGGCGUAAAGCGUACGUAGGCGGUUAUUUAAGUCAGAUGUGAAAGCCCCGGGCUCAACUUGGGAACUGCAUUUGAAACUGGGUAACUAGAGUUUAGUAGAGGGGAGUGGAAUUUCAGGUGUAGCGGUGAAAUGCGUAGAGAUCUGAAGGAACACCAGUGGCGAAGGCGACUCCCUGGACUAAAACUGACGCUGAGGUACGAAAGCGUGGGUAGCAAACAGGAUUAGAUACCCUAGUAGUCC